AUCUCAACCAUGAUGCAAUUGUAGUUCGAAAGAUGGCUAUCUCAGCUGUUGCUGGUAUCCUUAAACAGCUAAAAAGAACCCACAAAAAGCUGACCAUUAACCCCUGUGAAAUCAGUGGAUGCCCUAAACCCACCCAAAUUAUUGCUGGUGAUAGGCCUGAUAAUCAUUGGUUGCAUUAUGACAGCAAAACUAUACCAAGAACUAAAAAAGAAUGGGAGUCAAGUUGCUUUGUGGAAAAAACUCACUGGGGAUACUACACCUGGCCAAAGAAUAUGGUUGUUUAUGCUGGUGUGGAAGAGCAGCCUAAGCUUGGCAGAAGCAGGGAGGAUAUGACAGAGGCAGAACAGAUUAUAUUUGAUCAUUUUUCUGAUCCUAAAUUUGUUGAGCAGUUAAUUACUUUUCUAUCAUUAGAAGACAGAAAAGGAAAAGAUAAGUUUAAUCCACGACGUUUUUGCCUCUUUAAGGGUAUAUUCAGGAAUUUUGAUGAUGCCUUCCUGCCAGUUCUGAAGCCCCAUUUAGAACAUUUGGUUGCAGAUUCACAUGAAAGCACCCAGCGAUGUGUUGCAGAAAUUAUAGCUGGUUUAAUCAGAGGUUCUAAGCACUGGACAUUUGAAAAGGUGGAGAAGCUUUGGGAGCUUCUGUGCCCUCUGCUUAGAACAGCACUGUCCAAUAUUACCGUAGAAACUUAUAAUGACUGGGGAGCUUGUAUAGCAACAUCCUGUGAAAGCAGAGAUCCCCGGAAACUUCACUGGCUUUUUGAACUGCUGUUGGAAUCACCAUUGAGUGGUGAAGGAGGAUCCUUUGUAGAUGCAUGUCGACUUUAUGUACUACAAGGUGGCCUUGCCCAGCAAGAAUGGAGAGUGCCUGAACUAUUGCACAGACUACUGAAGUACUUGGAACCCAAACUCACCCAGGUUUAC
This 920-nucleotide long non-coding RNA is filed under the name Homo sapiens (human). Its description in RNAcentral is "long non-coding RNA NONHSAT184636.1". Lineage: Eukaryota; Metazoa; Chordata; Mammalia; Primates; Hominidae. The record is from RNAcentral.